Molecule: ribosomal RNA, 451 nt
Filed under: uncultured bacterium
Lineage: Bacteria
Description: partial 16S ribosomal RNA
Rfam family: Bacterial small subunit ribosomal RNA
Source: RNAcentral
GUGGGGAAUAUUGGACAAUGGGGGGAACCCUGAUCCAGCCAUGCCGCGUGUGUGAAGAAGGCCUUUUGGUUGUAAAGCACUUUAAGCGAGGAGGAGGCUACCGAGAUUAAUACUCUUGGAUAGUGGACGUUACUCGCAGAAUAAGCACCGGCUAACUCUGUGCCAGCAGCCGCGGUAAUACAGAGGGUGCAAGCGUUAAUCGGAUUUACUGGGCGUAAAGCGCGCGUAGGUGGCCAAUUAAGUCAAAUGUGAAAUCGCCGAGCUUAACUUGGGAAUUGCAUUCGAUACUGGUUGGCUAGAGUAUGGGAGAGGAUGGUAGAAUUCCAGGUGUAGCGGUGAAAUGCGUAGAGAUCUGGAGGAAUACCGAUGGCGAAGGCAGCCAUCUGGCCUAAUACUGACACUGAGGUGCGAAAGCAUGGGGAGCAAACAGGAUUAGAUACCCGUGUAGUCC